AAGACCUUGCACUUUUGGAGCGGCCGAUGUCUGAUUAGCUAGUUGGUGGGGUAAUGGCCUACCAAAGCUUCGAUCAGUAGCUGGUCUGAGAGGACGGCCAGCCACACUGGGACUGAGACACGGCCCAGACUCCUACGGGAGGCAGCAGUGGGGAAUUUUGGACAAUGGGCGCAAGCCUGAUCCAGCCAUGCCGCGUGAGUGAAGAAGGCCUUCGGGUUGUAAAGCUCUUUCAGCCGGGAAGAAAAGGUUGCGACUAAUAAUCGCAAUUCAUGACGGUACCGAAAGAAGAAGCACCGGCUAACUACGUGCCAGCAGCCGCGGUAAUACGUAGGGUGCGAGCGUUAAUCGGAAUUACUGGGCGUAAAGGGUGCGCAGGCGGUUUUGUAAGUCAGAUGUGAAAUCCCCAGGCUUAACCUGGGAACU
Molecule: ribosomal RNA, 423 nt
Filed under: uncultured bacterium
Lineage: Bacteria
Description: bacterial SSU rRNA
Rfam family: Bacterial small subunit ribosomal RNA
Source: RNAcentral